GACGAACGCUGGCGGCGUGCUUAACACAUGCAAGUCGAACGGAAAGGCCCUGCUUUUGUGGGGUGCUCGAGUGGCGAACGGGUGAGUAACACGUGAGUAACCUGCCCUUGACUUUGGGAUAACUUCAGGAAACUGGGGCUAAUACCGGAUAGGAGCUCUUGCUGCAUGGUGGGGGUUGGAAAGUUUCGGCGGUUGGGGAUGGACUCGCGGCUUAUCAGCUUGUUGGUGGGGUAGUGGCUUACCAAGGUUUUGACGGGUAGCCGGCCUGGGAGGGUGGACGGCCACAUUGGGACUGAGAUACGGCCCAGACUCCUACGGGAGGCAGCAGGGGGGAAUAUUGCGCAAUGGGCGGAAGCCUGAUGCAGCGACGCCGCGUGCGGGAUGACGGCCUUCUGGUUGUAAACCACUUUCGCCUGUGACGAAGCGUGAGUGACGGUAAUGGGUAAAGAAGCACCGGCUAACUACGUG
RNAcentral lists this ribosomal RNA (468 nucleotides) under uncultured bacterium. Its description in RNAcentral is "partial 16S ribosomal RNA". It matches the Rfam family "Bacterial small subunit ribosomal RNA", at positions 28 to 507 of the family's 1533-position model. The record is from RNAcentral.